Molecule: ribosomal RNA, 439 nt
Filed under: uncultured bacterium
Lineage: Bacteria
Description: partial 16S ribosomal RNA
Rfam family: Bacterial small subunit ribosomal RNA
Source: RNAcentral
CUACGGGUGGCAGCAGUGAGGAAUAUUGCACAAUGGGGGGAACCCUGAUGCAGCAACGCCGCGUGGAGGAUGACGCAUUUCGGUGUGUAAACUCCUUUUAUAUGUCAAGAAAAUGACGGUAGCAUAUGAAUAAGCACCGGCUAACUCCGUGCCAGCAGCCGCGGUAAUACGGAGGGUGCAAGCGUUACUCGGAAUCACUGGGCGUAAAGGACGCGUAGGCGGGUUGGAAAGUCAGGUGUGAAAUCCUACAGCUUAACUGUAGAACUGCACUUGAAACUUCUAAUCUAGAGUAUGGGAGGGGGGGAUGGAAUUAGUGGUGUAGGGGUAAGAUCCGUAGAUAUCACUAGGAAUACCUAAAGCGAAGGCGAUCUCCUGGAACAUUACUGACGCUAAGGCGUGAAAGCGUGGGGAGCAAACAGGAUUAGAUACCCGAGUAGUC